RNAcentral lists this ribosomal RNA (352 nucleotides) under uncultured Fusibacter sp. RNAcentral's name for it is "bacterial SSU rRNA". It matches the Rfam family "Bacterial small subunit ribosomal RNA", at positions 1031 to 1382 of the family's 1533-position model. Lineage: Bacteria; Bacillati; Bacillota; Clostridia; Eubacteriales; Fusibacteraceae. The record is from RNAcentral.
GAGACAGGUGGUGCAUGGUUGUCGUCAGCUCGUGUCGUGAGAUGUUGGGGUUAAGUCCCGCAACGAGCGCAACCCUUGUGUUUAGUUGCAAACAGGUCAAGCUGUGCACUCUAGACAGACUGCCGUGGACAACACGGAGGAAGUGGGGAUGACGUCAAAUCAUCAUGCCCCUUAUGAUCUGGGCUACACACGUGCUACAAUGGCCGGUACAACGGGCAGCGAAGGAGCGAUCCGGAGCGAAUCCUAAAAAGCCGGUCCCAGUUCGGAUUGCAGGCUGAAACUCGCCUACAUGAAGUUGGAGUUGCUAGUAAUCGCGAAUCAGAAUGUCGCGGUGAAUGCGUUCCCGGGUCUU